AGGUGAUGACCACUCCUGCUGAUGUCAGAGUCCAGUAUCAUCCCAGGUCUCACUGUGAGAACCUGGACCUGAGACCCCAUCACAGCAACAUCAAUGACAUUGCUGGAGUCUGUUCAAAAGAGACAAAGAGAAAGAGGGAGCGAGAGUCGGUAAGCAGCAGUGAUGAAGAGGAAUUGCUAAUGUCAACUGCACUGGCUGCUGCCUCAGUAUCAAAGCCCCCUGCUUGCUUCAUAUCUGCAGACAGCCACCAGCAACAGAUUCCCCCGUCAUUAACAACUGUACAGCACACUGGACUGAGAGAGAGGGAUAGGAGGAGACACUGACAUAACAGGAGGAAAACAAGAUAAAGAAAGAAAGAACGCCUAAAAGAGACAGAAAGGAAGGAUGGGAGGGCACUGAUGAACAGCAUAACAGAUGGAAGAUAUAGACUGAAGUUGCCACAGCGCUGUUACAUCACUUCUGUCUUUUCACUCUUCCUUUCCUCACUUCUGCCUUUACUUUCCUUUUCUCUUGCCUGGUAAAUUAAACCCUCCUGCUUAAUCAUUUAGGGAAAUUGUAUCCCUCCAUCAACAGUGUUGGUGUGGAAAAAUUGGGGAAAAAUUUGAACAAAUUAACACCAUUUGUAGUAAAGCAGAUGUUCUUUUGCCAACAGCCAGUUAAGGCAGCAUGGUGUGGGUGGAUCAGGAGGGAGGCUGGCUGCUCGAAUAACAGUUUUUUGCAUCUUUUGGGCGAUGUAAUCUGAACAAUGUUUCAGUAGCGUCACCCUCUGAUGGGUGCUUGCUUACAAUUAGAACUCUUAAAGCAAUUACUGUAUACUGAACCCAGGAGUCUCACUCUAAAUAAGGUAAACUAAGCCUGAGGGGGAGAAAUUUUCAAUUCAGAAUUACUUCCCAUAAUGCAUAGUGUUGAGUUUUAAGUUCUGAAAUUCAGAAAGCUUGAAAGCAACCUAAAGCUAUUGGUUGUACUGAAUCACAAUGCAAAGCUAGUACUAAAUCGAUAAGCCAAAGCCUUACAGUUUUCUGUUAAACAAUACACACCAGCCCACUUCAGCAGUCAAACCAGAACACUGAUAGCUUGGAAACUCUUGCUUGACUCACUGGGCAUCCCUACACUCCAGACAGCCAGGGAGAAUGUGAUGGAAGCCUCCUGUAGGUCUGCAGUAUGGUGGGUUUCUUCAGGCAAAGGUCAGUGCAUGCUGUAUCGCUGUGUUUCCACUUCACAUCAAUAAAAAGCCUCCUUUACACACUUUGAGCUGAAUCUCCUGUCUAGGCUCAACUCCCAUGACAGGCACUGCGGAAACACACACUCACACUCACACGUUUAACCCUGAUAAUGGGAUAUAGCUCAAGCAUGCCUGGAGCCUGAUAAACGGAUGGAUGUAUACUUAAAAAUGAUGUGUGU
Molecule: long non-coding RNA, 1401 nt
Organism: Thunnus maccoyii (southern bluefin tuna)
Lineage: Eukaryota; Metazoa; Chordata; Actinopteri; Scombriformes; Scombridae
Exons: 3
Source: RefSeq, a predicted model, not a curated record